UUAGGCUACAAAAUCAAGAAACCUAAAUUGAGAAGGAAACCGGGUAGACCAAGAAUAUCUAGAAUAAAGUCAUAUGAUGAGGCUGGCACUAGCAAAAAGAGGAAGCCAUGUUCUGAAUGUAAUGAACUAGGCCACAUAGCCAAGCAUUGCCAAGGAGGUCUCACUGCUAGUCAAAAGAGGAAGCUUUCAGCUUCACAAACCUCAGGUGCAAGUGCAACAGAAAAAGGGAGAGGGAGGGGAAGAGGAAGGAGAAAUCCAAGUGAAACUCAAGUUCAAACAGAAAUUGCUAGAGGAGGGAGGGGAAGAGGAAGAGGAAGAGCAAGAGGAAGAGGAAGAGGAAAUCUAAGUGAAAAUGAAUUUGGAACCGAAAAUGCUAGAGGAGGAAGGGGAAAAGGAAGAAGGGGAGGAAGAAGGGGAGGAAGAAGGGGAGGAUCAGGAGGGCGAUUGGCUCAAUUAUUAGGAAUAGAUGCAUGAAUGUGAUGCAGCCACCUCUCAUCAUGUAAUAUACCAGUCGCUUUUGUUGGACACCUAUGUUGGGAUGUGAUCUCAUGGUGCUUC
Long non-coding RNA from Panicum virgatum (switchgrass), 558 nucleotides. RefSeq lists it as uncharacterized. The record is from RefSeq and is a predicted model, not a curated record. NCBI's taxonomy places the organism in Eukaryota, Viridiplantae, Streptophyta, Magnoliopsida, Poales, Poaceae. The transcript is spliced from 2 exons.